AGACUUGUUACAAGUCUUGUUUCCAUCUUUCAUUUGGACAAAAAUCAGAACAUAAGAAUCAUAUAUCAAGUCUAGUCUCCAUUUUCAUUUGGAAAGAAUCAAACGUCCUUAACAAGAAUCAGAUAUCAAUGCUUUCAAAGUUCAAAAACGUUCUUUCUCAAUUCAGAAACGUUAAGCAGAAGCUAACCUAUCGUUCCAAAAAGCUUCAUAGAAUCAGAAGCAAUUUCGUUCCAAAAUUUCAAAGGAUCAAAAGCAAAAUUUCGUUCAUGAAUUUCAAAGAAGCAGGAGCAAAUUUCGUUCAAGGAUUUCAAAAAAAAAAAAAAAAGCAGAAGCUUAAUCCGAUUUUUUUUUUUGAGUUCUAAAUUCAAUCAAUGAAGGUUUUCCAACGGAAUAUUAUACGGAGUUUUUCCUACUCCAGGUCCCAAUAAACAUGUAGAGAGCCCUUCAAGUAGGCAAUCAGCUCAGCGGAAGAUGUUGGUGCGCUCCAUUUGCUUCGGAGUUGCUUGUUUGGUUAGUAUGAUUUAGACGUGUAAUGUUUGGUAUGGUGGGACUCUGUCCCGAUCUUUGUGAAAAUUAUGUAUUCUUAGAGGCUUGUAGACAGAUGUCAUAUACGUAUAAGAUUGUAUGGCCUUGUCGGUCUAUGUUCAGUAUACGAGUGGUUAUUUUUUCCUUUUAGGCCCGUACGUCAUAUGUAUAAGUUUGGACUACAUGUUGGAUCGUCCAAUGUCGAGUAUUUCUCCAUGUUUUAUUGCACUUAUCUCACGACA
Long non-coding RNA from Nicotiana attenuata, 767 nucleotides. RefSeq lists it as uncharacterized. Lineage: Eukaryota; Viridiplantae; Streptophyta; Magnoliopsida; Solanales; Solanaceae. The record is from RefSeq and is a predicted model, not a curated record. The transcript has 2 exons.